Non-coding RNA from Paramuricea clavata, 213 nucleotides. The record is from the annotation of a GenBank genome assembly. NCBI's taxonomy places the organism in Eukaryota, Metazoa, Cnidaria, Anthozoa, Malacalcyonacea, Plexauridae.
AAUCCUUAGAGUGCCCUCCAGAUGCUCCCUAACAAUAUCUGUUCGGGUACAACAACCACAUACAGCGCAAAAAUGAACCAUUUUAAUACAAAAUUAUUAUAAAGUUUUACAAAAUUUGCUUUGUUUACAAAAGUUAUAUUAUGCAUAGAUUGCUAAUUUGUCCUCCAGAUGCAUCGUCACCGGCGCUGUGACGUCAUGUGCAAUGGGUCUAUA